This 492-nucleotide ribosomal RNA is filed under the name uncultured bacterium. RNAcentral's name for it is "partial 16S ribosomal RNA". It matches the Rfam family "Bacterial small subunit ribosomal RNA", at positions 29 to 507 of the family's 1533-position model. The record is from RNAcentral.
AGUGAACGCUGGCGGCAGGCCUAACACAUGCAAGUCGAACGGCAGCACAGUAAUAGCUUGUUCUUACGGGUGGCGACGGGCGGAUGGGUGAGGAAAACCUCGGUAUCUACUUUUUCGUGGGGGAUAACGCAGGGACUCUUACCCUAAUACCCCAUACGACGUACGGGUGAAAGCAUGGGAUCUUACGAUCUUGCGCGAUUGAAUGAGCCGAUGUCGGAUUAGCUAGUUGGCGGGGUAAAGGCCCACCAAGGCGACGAUCCGUAGCUGGUCUGAGAGGAUGAUCAGCCACACUGGAACUGAGACACGGUCCAGACUCCUACGGGAGGCAGCAGUGGGGAAUAUUGGACAAUGGGCGCAAGCCUGAUCCAGCCAUACCGCGUGGGUGAAGAAGGCCUUCGGGUUGUAAAGCCCUUUUGUUGGGGAAGAAAAGCAGCAGGUUAAUACCCCGCUGUUCUGACGGUACCCAAAGAAUAAGCACCGGCUAACUUCGUG